AAGUGGUGGAGUGAUAGUUCUGCCCUUGGUAUUUUGAUGAAUGACAUUUUGCCUGUGAAGUAUGGCUAUAAUUCAUAAUUCUCGGUUCUACUUCUUUUUGGAAGUAUCUGAUUUACACCCACAUCAAGACAAAAAGAAAAAGAGGAAGAGGAGGAGGGAGAAGAAGAAGAAGAGUUAGACGGGAACAACUUGAUGCUUGAUUCGAACAGAAACGAUCCCAGGGGUAUUGUUCCUGCUGCAGUUUGGGGUUUUGAGUGAUUGUGGUCUUAUUUUCCGCGAAAGCAAGAGAAGUUGUGUGCAAAAGGCAAUUUCAACCUUAUUCAUCACAAUCAAUCUCAGCAAAAGCUUGUUCCGAAGUUCAGGCUCUGUUACUAAUCUGGUAAAACAAGAUGAUGAUAAUGGGUGUGUAGCUUUGGUGGUGGGAGUACUAGGUAAUUGAACUUUCAAUCCAUCUCUGAAAUGGCUGUUGGUUGUAUAUUGGGAGCUAGCUAGGUGCCUGCUACUUUGAGAACAACAGAACACUGUCCUGUUUGCAGCGUCAACAACACCAUCAAUUCUCAUCUGGGUAUUUUUUUUUGUUAUUUUUUUAAAUUUGUCUUCCUAUUUGGGUGCGAUUGCAUAUUACUGUAUGCUGAAGGUAUAUAGGGUAAAACAUAAUC
This is a long non-coding RNA of Rosa chinensis, 659 nucleotides long. RefSeq lists it as uncharacterized. The record is from RefSeq and is a predicted model, not a curated record. Lineage: Eukaryota; Viridiplantae; Streptophyta; Magnoliopsida; Rosales; Rosaceae. The transcript is spliced from 6 exons.